UCCUGACUGACCGAUAGUGAACCAGUACCGUGAGGGAAAGGCGAAAAGAACCCCGGCGAGGGGAGUGAAAAAGAACCUGAAACCGUGUACGUACAAGCAGUGGGAGCACGCUUAGGCGUGUGACUGCGUACCUUUUGUAUAAUGGGUCAGCGACUUAUAUUCUGUAGCAAGGUUAACCGAAUAGGGGAGCCGAAGGGAAACCGAGUCUUAACUGGGCGUUAAGUUGCAGGGUAUAGACCCGAAACCCGGUGAUCUAGCCAUGGGCAGGUUGAAGGUUGGGUAACACUAACUGGAGGACCGAACCGACUAAUGUUGAAAAAUUAGCGGAUGACUUGUGGCUGGGGGUGAAAGGCCAAUCAAACCGGGAGAUAGCUGGUUCUCCCCGAAAGCUAUUUAGGUAGCGCCUCGUGAAUUCAUCUCCGGGGGUAGAGCACUGUUUCGGCAAGGGGGUCAUCCCGACUUACCAACCCGAUGCAAACUGCGAAUACCGGAGAAUGUUAUCACGGGAGACACACGGCGGGUGCUAACGUCCGUCGUGAAGAGGGAAACAACCCAGACCGCCAGCUAAGGUCCCAAAGUCAUGGUUAAGUGGGAAACGAUGUGGGAAGGCCCAGACAGCCAGGAUGUUGGCUUAGAAGCAGCCAUCAUUUAAAGAAAGCGUAAUAGCUCACUGGUCGAGUCGGCCUGCGCGGAAGAUGUAACGGGGCUAAACCAUGCACCGAAGCUGCGGCAGCGACGCUUAUGCGUUGUUGGGUAGGGGAGCGUUCUGUAAGCCUGCGAAGGUGUGCUGUGAGGCAUGCUGGAGGUAUCAGAAGUGCGAAUGCUGACAUAAGUAACGAUAAAGCGGGUGAAAAGCCCGCUCGCCGGAAGACCAAGGGUUCCUGUCCAACGUUAAUCGGGGCAGGGUGAGUCGACCCCUAAGACGAGGCCGAAAGGCGUAGUCGAUGGGAAACAGGUUAAUAUUCCUGUACUUGGUGUUACUGCGAAGGGGGGACGGAGAAGGCUAUGUUGGCCGGGCGACGGUUGUCCCGGUUUAAGCGUGUAGGCUGGUUUUCCAGGCAAAUCCGGAAAAUCAAGGCUGAGGCGUGAUGACGAGGCACUACGGUGCUGAAGCAACAAAUGCCCUGCUUCCAGGAAAAGCCUCUAAGCAUCAGGUAACAUCAAAUCGUACCCCAAACCGACACAGGUGGUCAGGUAGAGAAUACCAAGGCGCUUGAGAGAACUCGGGUGAAGGAACUAGGCAAAAUGGUGCCGUAACUUCGGGA
RNAcentral lists this ribosomal RNA (1265 nucleotides) under Shigella sonnei. Its description in RNAcentral is "partial 23S ribosomal RNA". It matches the Rfam family "Bacterial large subunit ribosomal RNA", at positions 474 to 1741 of the family's 2925-position model. The record is from RNAcentral. Lineage: Bacteria; Pseudomonadati; Pseudomonadota; Gammaproteobacteria; Enterobacterales; Enterobacteriaceae.